This 445-nucleotide ribosomal RNA is filed under the name uncultured bacterium. Its description in RNAcentral is "bacterial SSU rRNA". It matches the Rfam family "Bacterial small subunit ribosomal RNA", at positions 354 to 796 of the family's 1533-position model. The record is from RNAcentral.
GUGAGGAAUAUUGCGCAAUGGAGGCAACUCUGACGCAGCCAUGCCGCGUGCAGGAAGAAGGCGCUACGCGUUGUAAACUGCUUUUAACCGGGAAGAAACCCCAGGACGUGUCCUGGGUUGACGGUACCGGAGGAAUAAGCACCGGCUAACUUCGUGCCAGCAGCCGCGGUAAUACGAAGGGUGCAAGCGUUAUCCGGAUUCAUUGGGUUUAAAGGGUGCGUAGGCGGAGCGUUAAGUCAGUGGUGAAAUCCUGCAGCUUAACUGUAGACUUGCCAUUGAUACUGGCGCUCUUGAGUGCGCUGGAAGUGGGCGGAAUGUGCCGUGUAGCGGUGAAAUGCUUAGAUAUGGCACAGAACACCAAUUGCGAAGGCAGCUCACUAAGGCGAUACUGACGCUGAGGCACGAAAGCGUGGGGAUCGAACAGGAUUAGAUACCCUGGUAGUCC